This 392-nucleotide ribosomal RNA is filed under the name uncultured bacterium. Its description in RNAcentral is "partial 16S ribosomal RNA". It matches the Rfam family "Bacterial small subunit ribosomal RNA", at positions 523 to 918 of the family's 1533-position model. The record is from RNAcentral.
AUACGGAGGAUCCGAGCGUUAUCCGGAUUUAUUGGGUUUAAAGGGUGCGCAGGCGGCCAUUUAAGUCAGCGGUUAAAUCUUGGGGCUCAACCCCAUUCUGCCGUUGAUACUGGGUGGCUUGAUUGCGGUCGAGGUUGGCGGAAUUCGUUGUGUAGCGGUGAAAUACAUAGAUAUGACGAAGAACACCGAUUGCGUAGGCAGCUGACCAGAUCGCAAAUGACGCUCAUGCACGAAAGUGCGGGGAUCGAACAGGAUUAGAUACCCUGGUAGUCCGCACAGUAAACGAUGAAUACUUGUUUUCGGCGAUAUAAUGUCGGAGGCAAAGCGAAAGCGAUAAGUAUUCCACCUGGGGAGUACGCCAGCAACGGUGAAACUCAAAGGAAUUGACGGGG